This 499-nucleotide ribosomal RNA is filed under the name uncultured bacterium. RNAcentral describes it as "partial 16S ribosomal RNA". It matches the Rfam family "Bacterial small subunit ribosomal RNA", at positions 28 to 507 of the family's 1533-position model. The record is from RNAcentral.
GACGAACGCUGGCGGCGUGCUUAACACAUGCAAGUCGAACGGGCCUGUCUUCUUUUUUGGGGGUGGGUUGAGUGGCGAACGGGUGAGUAUCACGUGAGUAACCUGCCCUUCGGUCCUGGAUAACCGCUUGAAAGGGCGGCUAAUACGGGGUGGUCCGGUUGGUCCGCAUGGGCUGGUCGGGAUAGAUUCACUGUUUUUGGUGUUUCGGCGGGGGAUGGGCUCGCGGCCUAUCAGCUUGUUGGUGGGGUGAUGGCCUACCAAGGCGGUGACGGGUAGCCGGCCUGAGAGGGUGGGCGGCCACACUGGGACUGCGAUACGGCCCAGACUCCUGCGGGAGGCAGCAGUGGGGGGUAUUGCACAAUGGGCGGAAGCCUGAUGCAGCGACGUCGCGUGAGGGAUGGAGGCCUUCGGGUUGUGAACCUCUGUUUCCGGUGGUGAAGGCCCUGUCCGUGUGGUGGGGUUGACGGUAGCCGGGGAUGAAGCGCCGGCUAACUACGUG